This 500-nucleotide ribosomal RNA is filed under the name uncultured bacterium. RNAcentral describes it as "partial 16S ribosomal RNA". It matches the Rfam family "Bacterial small subunit ribosomal RNA", at positions 30 to 523 of the family's 1533-position model. The record is from RNAcentral.
AUUGAACGCUGGCGGCAGGCUUAACACAUGCAAGUCGAGCGGGGGAAGGUAGCUUGCUACCGGACCUAGCGGCGGACGGGUGAGUAAUGCUUAGGAAUCUGCCUAUUAGUGGGGGACAACAUCUCGAAAGGGAUGCUAAUACCGCAUACGUCCUACGGGAGAAAGCAGGGGAUCUUCGGACCUUGCGCUAAUAGAUGAGCCUAAGUCGGAUUAGCUAGUUGGUGGGGUAAAGGCCUACCAAGGCGACGAUCUGUAGCGGGUCUGAGAGGAUGAUCCGCCACGCUGGGACUGAGACACGGCCCAGACUCCUACGGGAGGCAGCAGUGGGGAAUAUUGGACAAUGGGGGAACCCUGAUCCAGCCAUGCCGCGUGUGUGAAGAAGGCCUUAUGGUUGUAAAGCACUUUAAGCGAGGAGGAGGCUACUCUAGUUAAUACCUAGGGAUAGUGGACGUUACUCGCAGAAUAAGCACCGGCUAACUCUGUGCCAGCCGCCGCAGUAA